RNAcentral lists this ribosomal RNA (253 nucleotides) under uncultured bacterium. RNAcentral describes it as "partial 16S ribosomal RNA". It matches the Rfam family "Bacterial small subunit ribosomal RNA", at positions 524 to 776 of the family's 1533-position model. The record is from RNAcentral.
UACGUAGGUUGCAAGCGUUAAUCGGAAUUACUGGGCGUAAAGCGUGCGCAGGCGGCUCUGCAAGUCAGAUGUGAAAUCCCCGGGCUCAACCUGGGAACUGCAUUUGAGACUGCAGGGCUAGAGUACGGUAGAGGGGGAUGGAAUUCCGCGUGUAGCAGUGAAAUGCGUAGAUAUGCGGAGGAACACCGAUGGCGAAGGCAAUCCCCUGGACCUGUACUGACGCUCAUGCACGAAAGCGUGGGGAGCAAACAGG